RNAcentral lists this ribosomal RNA (634 nucleotides) under Natrialba aegyptia. RNAcentral describes it as "bacterial SSU rRNA". It matches the Rfam family "Archaeal small subunit ribosomal RNA", at positions 54 to 689 of the family's 1478-position model. Lineage: Archaea; Methanobacteriati; Methanobacteriota; Halobacteria; Halobacteriales; Natrialbaceae. The record is from RNAcentral.
CUAGUCGCACGAGUUCAGACUCGUGGCAGAUAGCUCAGUAACACGUGGCCAAACUACCCUAUAGAUCCGGCCAACCUCGGGAAACUGAGGCUAAUCCGGGAUAACGCUUUCAGCCUGGAGUGGCGAGAGCGUGAAACGCUCCGGCGCUAUAGGAUGUGGCUGCGGCCGAUUAGGUAGACGGUGGGGUAACGGCCCACCGUGCCAGUAAUCGGUACGGGUUGUGAGAGCAAGAGCCCGGAGACGGUAUCUGAGACAAGAUACCGGGCCCUACGGGGCGCAGCAGGCGCGAAACCUUUACACUGCACGCGAGUGCGAUAAGGGGACUCCAGGUGCGAGGGCAUAUAGUCCUCGCUUUUCUCGACCGUAGGGAGGUCGAGGAACAAGUGCUGGGCAAGACCGGUGCCAGCCGCCGCGGUAAUACCGGCAGCACAAGUGAUGACCGCUGUUAUUGGGCCUAAAGCGUCCGUAGCUGGCCAGACAAGUUCAUCGGGAAAUCUGCGCGCCUAACGCGCAGGCGUCCGGUGGAAACUGCCUGGCUUGGGACCGGAAGACCAGAGGGGUACGUCUGGGGUAGGAGUGAAAUCCCGUAAUCCUGGACGGACCACCGGUGGCGAAAGCGCCUCUGGAAGACGGA